AUAUUUCAAUGCGCCGUUGAAGCAACAUUCGGAAUAUUUGCGAACAAGUUUGUAAUACCUCCAUUUUUCUUAUCCCUAUGCAAAGGUAAACGAAGGAAUGAAUUCAGAAUUACGAAAUUGUUUAGAACUGGAAUUAAAGUAUAGAGAUGGGUUAAUCAAAAUAAUUAGAAUCUGCGGACAAAAUCGAAUUCAAUAUAUGGAAGCCUGCAAGGAAUUAUUCGUUUCCAAUUACAGAAUUAGGAGUUACUUAAGUUACAUGGAUGAGGAAAAAUUUAGCCCACUGAACCCAAUUUUAAACUAUAGGAGUAAUCCAAAUUAUCCGUCUGUGGAGCAAAGUACGUUUAUGGAACUCAACAAACACCAUAAUAAAUCCAAAAUUAAUAGUAAUUUAACAGCGAUCAAGUCUCCUUGCGCAGAUUUGGCUUCAAAAUACAGACUUGUCGGAAAAGACUAUUGCCACGACACUGAAUGCAAAGAAUCUUCAAACUCUUCUACUACUGACUCAGGCUUAGGAAACAACCUAGAUAUCCAUUCAUGUAGUUCUAUUAAUAACGAUUGCUAUUCCACCGAUAUUAACGCUAACUUUUAUCCGUUACCCUUAAUGGAAAAAUGUGAAAACACUUGUAUAACCGAUAUUGCAUUGAAUAAAU
Long non-coding RNA from Gordionus sp. m RMFG-2023, 650 nucleotides. RefSeq lists it as uncharacterized. The record is from RefSeq and is a predicted model, not a curated record. Lineage: Eukaryota; Metazoa; Nematomorpha; Gordioida; Chordodea; Parachordodidae. The transcript has 3 exons.